RNAcentral lists this ribosomal RNA (563 nucleotides) under uncultured bacterium. RNAcentral describes it as "partial 16S ribosomal RNA". It matches the Rfam family "Bacterial small subunit ribosomal RNA", at positions 355 to 937 of the family's 1533-position model. The record is from RNAcentral.
GGAGGAAUAUUGGGCAAUGGACGAAAGUCUGACCCAGCAACGCCGCGUGAAGGAUGAAGGCCUUCGGGUCGUAAACUUCUUUUGAGGGAGACGAGAAAGGACGGUAUCCCUCGAAUAAGCCACGGCUAACUACGUGCCAGCAGCCGCGGUAAAACGUAGGUGGCGAGCGUUAUCCGGAUUCAUUGGGCGUAAAGAGCUUGUAGGUGGUGCGAUAAGUUGGACGUGAAAACUCCGGGCUUAACUUGGAGAGGCCGUUCAAUACUGUUGUGCUAGAGGGCGUCAGAGGGAAGUGGAAUUCCUGGUGUAGCAGUGAAAUGCGUAGAUAUCAGGAGGAACAUCCGUGGCGAAGGCGGCUUCCUGGGGCGCACCUGACACUGAGAAGCGAAAGCUAGGGGAGCAAACGGGAUUAGAAACCCCGGUAGUCCUAGCUGUAAACGAUGGAUGCUAGGUGUGAGUGGAUCUAACCCCGCUCGUGCCGAAGCUAACGCGUUAAGCAUCCCGCCUGGGAACUACGAGCGCAAGCUUAAAAACUCAAAUGAAUUGACGGGGUCAUAGCUGUUUCC